GCAUCGAUGAAAAACGCAGCGAAAUGCGAUAAGUAAUGUGAAUUGCAGAAUUUCAGUGAAUCAUCGAAUCUUUGAACGCACAUUGCGCCCAUUAGUAUUCUAGUGGGCAUGCCUGUUCGAGCGUCAUU
This 128-nucleotide ribosomal RNA is filed under the name Xylaria sp. A53. RNAcentral's name for it is "partial 5.8S ribosomal RNA". It matches the Rfam family "5.8S ribosomal RNA", at positions 30 to 154 of the family's 154-position model. From Rfam's summary of the family: 5.8S ribosomal RNA (5.8S rRNA) is a component of the large subunit of the eukaryotic ribosome. It is transcribed by RNA polymerase I as part of the 45S precursor that also contains 18S and 28S rRNA. The record is from RNAcentral. Lineage: Eukaryota; Fungi; Ascomycota; Sordariomycetes; Xylariales; Xylariaceae.